AGGGCUAUAGCUCAGUUAGGUAGAGCACCUCGUUUACACGAAUACCCAGUCUAUUCAAUGCUAGGCAUAAUGAGUA
Molecule: transfer RNA, 76 nt
Filed under: Camellia brevistyla
Lineage: Eukaryota; Viridiplantae; Streptophyta; Magnoliopsida; Ericales; Theaceae
Description: tRNA-Val
Source: RNAcentral